CAGUGGGGAAUAUUGCACAAUGGGCGCAAGCCUGAUGCAGCGACGCCGCGUGGGGGAUGACGGCCUUCGGGUUGUAAACCUCUUUCAGCAGGGACGAAGCGCAAGUGACGGUACCUGCAGAAGAAGCACCGGCCAACUACGUGCCAGCAGCCGCGGUAAUACGUAGGGUGCGAGCGUUGUCCGGAAUUACUGGGCGUAAAGAGCUCGUAGGUGGUUUGUCGCGUUGUUCGUGAAAACCGGGGGCUUAACCCUCGGCGUGCGGGCGAUACGGGCAGACUGGAGUACUGCAGGGGAGACUGGAAUUCCUGGUGUAGCGGUGGAAUGCGCAGAUAUCAGGAGGAACACCGGUGGCGAAGGCGGGUCUCUGGGCAGUAACUGACGCUGAGGAGCGAAAGCGUGGGGAGCGAACAGGAUUAGA
Molecule: ribosomal RNA, 418 nt
Filed under: uncultured bacterium
Lineage: Bacteria
Description: bacterial SSU rRNA
Rfam family: Bacterial small subunit ribosomal RNA
Source: RNAcentral